RNAcentral lists this ribosomal RNA (460 nucleotides) under Streptococcus mitis. RNAcentral's name for it is "bacterial SSU rRNA". It matches the Rfam family "Bacterial small subunit ribosomal RNA", at positions 38 to 483 of the family's 1533-position model. Lineage: Bacteria; Bacillati; Bacillota; Bacilli; Lactobacillales; Streptococcaceae. The record is from RNAcentral.
GGCGGCGUGCCUAAUACAUGCAAGUAGAACGCUGAAGGAGGAGCUUGCUUCUCUGGAUGAGUUGCGAACGGGUGAGUAACGCGUAGGUAACCUGCCUGGUAGCGGGGGAUAACUAUUGGAAACGAUAGCUAAUACCGCAUAAUAGCAGUUAUUGCAUGAUAACUGUUUGAAAGGUGCAAUUGCACCACUACCAGAUGGACCUGCGUUGUAUUAGCUAGUUGGUGGGGUAACGGCUCACCAAGGCGACGAUACAUAGCCGACCUGAGAGGGUGAUCGGCCACACUGGGACUGAGACACGGCCCAGACUCCUACGGGAGGCAGCAGUAGGGAAUCUUCGGCAAUGGACGGAAGUCUGACCGAGCAACGCCGCGUGAGUGAAGAAGGUUUUCGGAUCGUAAAGCUCUGUUGUAAGAGAAGAACGAGUGUGAGAGUGGAAAGUUCACACUGUGACGGUUCUACC